Non-coding RNA from Biomphalaria pfeifferi, 206 nucleotides. The record is from the annotation of a GenBank genome assembly. Lineage: Eukaryota; Metazoa; Mollusca; Gastropoda; Planorbidae.
UAUCUUGCUCUUCUUCUGAACUGGAAUCACUACUGGAUUCUUUUUUAAUUGCUUUAGGAGUAACAGGUUUAGCAGCUACAGGUUGUGGUUUGGCAGCUGGUUUCUUAGCUGGCUCCUCUUCUGAACUGAAAUCACUAUCAGAUGAAGAUUCUUUUUUGGCUGGUACUUUAGUUGCAGGUUUAACAGCUGGUUUCUUAGCUUGCUCU